UCUCGCUGCUGAUUGGUCCAUGGAGAGAAGCGCAUGUGCAUUGGGCGGAGCCUCACCUGGAGUUGUGAGGAGGAGGUUGUGAUGAAGAAGCGCUGCUGGUCAGAGGAAGGGAAGAGGAGGAAGAGGAGGAGGCUGAACGAGGACAGGAGCUGCUCCACCCAUCUGAUAACACCUGAACACCUUCAGACAGACAAACUGAAAUCGAACAUGGUUGAAUCCCCACAUGACUCUCCAAGGAUUCCGGUAAACCCCGUCCCCCCGGGUUCCUGAGGAGGAUAGAUCAAAUGCCAUCAGAGAGCAACCUACGUGAUGUGUGUGGUUUCUGCAUCUGUCUCACUUGACACCGUCUCUCCAAACGAGUGAGACGGCGGAGCGCUGAGCGGCUGAGGUGCUGCAGCUCAGUUUUACCUCUCCUUGGCGUCGAGGAAAGCUUUAGCAAACGGGUUGUAUCUAAUCUUCAGAGCCGUGAUCUGCACAGAAAAACAUCCAAACUCUGGCAGUGACAGCGAUGAACUGAGUUUCUUUGAAGGACACGUUGGAAACCAGACGAUGACGAGAGCCGACGCACACGAUGUGAAGCUGAGGCUCGUACUUAUGAAGAGAGUUCAACAUGAUCUGAAGACACAGUGACAAAGACAUGAGCAAACAAACGUUUAUACCUAUCUGUAUCCACCUGUACCUGUCCAUAGUACACACUUUGUAGUGGUCUGUACUUGUUUGUAACCAUCUGGUUUUUACCCAUCUGUACAAAACUGACCCCACCUACAGCUGCUGCACUAGUGUGUACUGAUUGUACCCACUGAUGUGACAAACCCACCUGCAGUUUGUACACCUCUUUACCUGUACAUACUUAUUUGUUCUACUAGUUGACUGAUAUGGGUUUUGCGUUGUUUGAUGCCAAUGUAUAAUGCAGAUAUCAUGUAGUUUUUUUUCUUUUUGCAUCAGAAAAAAUACAACAAUUUAAUGAGACAAAUCAAAAUUUACUUAACAUUAAUAAAUUAUGAAAACAGU
This is a long non-coding RNA of Monopterus albus (swamp eel), 1011 nucleotides long. RefSeq lists it as uncharacterized. Lineage: Eukaryota; Metazoa; Chordata; Actinopteri; Synbranchiformes; Synbranchidae. The transcript has 5 exons. The record is from RefSeq and is a predicted model, not a curated record.